Molecule: RNA transcript, 5442 nt
Organism: Artibeus jamaicensis (Jamaican fruit-eating bat)
Lineage: Eukaryota; Metazoa; Chordata; Mammalia; Chiroptera; Phyllostomidae
Gene: TLR6
Gene name: toll like receptor 6
Exons: 3
Source: RefSeq, a predicted model, not a curated record
UUAAAGACUUCAGUGUGGCUUGAAAUUUCCUCAGAACCACAGCCGGUCCCGCUCCCCUCCUCCUGUUUCCACAGAUACUCACUGCUCUCUUGCUGCGUCCUUUUGCAGGUCCCACAGAGACCCAUCUACUUGCUGAUGCAGCCUAGAAGACUUCCUGUUAUGUUUGAAUUUGGAUGCUUAUCAAGAUGCAAGAACAGCAACAACCUCUUGGGGCCUAGCCACUUCCACACCAUGACGGAGGACAGAAAGACUACUGUCGGAAGCUUCCAUUUUGUUUACAUCGUAAUCUUAAUAGUUGGAACCACAGUCCAGGUCUCUGAUGAAAGUGAGUUUGCAGUAAACAAGUCAAACCAAGGCCUCACUCAUGUUCCGAAAGGCCUGCCACCCAAAACCAAAGUCUUAGAUAUGUCUCAAAACUUUAUAGCUGAGCUCCGCCUCUCCGACAUCAGCUUCCUCUCACAGCUGAAAGUUCUCAGGCUUUCCCGCAAUAGACUUCAGUGCCUUGAUAUUAGCAUUUUCAAGUUCAACCAGGAUUUGGAAUAUCUGGAUUUAUCGCACAAUCAGUUGCGGAAGAUAUCCUGCCAUCCUAUCACCAAUCUGAAGCAUUUAGACCUCUCAUUCAAUGCCUUUGAUGUCCUGCCCAUCUGUAAGGAAUUUGGUAACUUGACUCAACUGAAUUUCUUGGGAUUAAGUGCUAAAAAGUUACAACCAUUGGACCUGCUACCAAUUGCUCACUUGCAUCUAAGUGGCAUCCUCCUGGAUUUGGAAGGUUAUUACGUGAAAGAACAUGAGACAGAAAGUCUUCAAAUUCUGAAUACAAAAACACUUCACCUAGUUUUUCACCCAAAUGAUAUCUUCUCUGUCCAAGCAAAAAUAUCAGUUAACAGUCUGAGAUGCCUACAACUGAGUAAUAUUAAGCUGAAUGAUAUGAACUGUCAAGUUUUUACUACAUUUUUAUCACAACCAACUCGAGGUCCAAAUUUACUGAAUUUUACACUGAACCAUGUGGAAACAACUUGGCAAUGUUUGGUCAGAGUUUUUCAAUUCCUUUGGCCCAGACCUAUAGAAUAUCUCAACAUUUACAAUCUAACAAUUGUUGAAAGCAUUGAUGAAGAAGAAUUUACUUAUCCUGAAACAUCUUUGAAAGCAUUGACAAUUGAACAUGUUACAAACAGAGUUUUUCUUUUUUCGCAGACAGCAUUAUACACAGUGUUUUCUGAGAUGAACAUUAUGAUGUUAACCAUAUCAGAUACACAUUUUAUACAUAUGCUUUGUCCUCAAACCACAAGCACAUUUAAGGUCUUGAACUUUACCCGGAAUGUUUUCACAGAUAGUAUUUUUCAGAAGUGCUCCACUUUAGUUCGAUUGGAGACAUUGAUCUUACAAAAGAAUGAAUUAAAAGACCUUUUCAAAGUGGGUCUCAUGACUGAGAAAAUGCCAUCUUUGGAAAUACUGGACUUGAGCUGGAAUUAUUUGGAAUAUGAUAGACAUGACCAAAAUUGCACUUGGGUUGGGAGUAUAGUGGUGUUAAAUUUGUCCUCAAAUGUACUUACUGACUCUGUGUUCAGUUGUUUACCUUCCAGGGUCAGGGUUCUUGAUCUUCACAAUAACAAAAUAACAAGAAUCCCUGAAGAUGUCACCAGUCUAGAGGCUUUGCAAGAACUCAAUGUUGCUUUCAACUCCUUAGCCCACCUGCCUGGAUGUGGUAGCUUUGGCAGCCUCUCUGUACUGAUCAUUGACUAUAACUCAAUUUCCAACCCAUCGGCUCAUUUUUUUGAGAGCUGCCAGAAGAUUAGGUCCAUAAACGUGGGGCACAAUCCAUUCCAAUGUACGUGUGAGCUCCAAGAAUUUAUCCAAAGUAUAGGCCAAGUAUCAAGUGGGGUGGUAGAGGGUUGGCCUGAGUCUUAUCAGUGUGACUACCCAGGAAGCUACAAGGGGACCCUACUGAAGGAUUUUCAUGUGUCUCCGUUAACCUGCAACACAGCUCUGCUGAUUGUCACCAUUGGGGUCACUGGACUGGUGUUGGCUGUCACUCUGACUGCCCUCUGUAUCUAUCUGGAUCUGCCCUGGUAUCUCAGGAUGGUGUGUCAGUGGACUCGGACCCGGCGCAGGGCUAGGAACAUACCUUUAGACAAACUGCAAAGGACUCUGCAGUUCCACGCUUUUAUUUCCUACAGUGAACACGACUCUGCCUGGGUGAAGAAUGAACUGGUACCUUGCCUAGAAAAAGAAGAUAUACGGCUUUGUCUCCAUGAGAGGAACUUUGUUCCUGGCAAGAGCAUUGUGGAAAAUAUCAUAAACUGCAUUGAGAAAAGUUACAAGUCCAUCUUUGUUUUGUCUCCCAACUUUGUCCAGAGCGAGUGGUGCCAUUAUGAACUCUACUUUGCCCACCACAAUCUCUUCCAUGAAGGAUCUGACAACUUGAUCCUGAUCUUGCUGGAACCCAUUCCACAGAACAACAUUCCUAGCAAGUAUCACAAGCUGAAAUCUCUCAUGACACAGCGCACUUAUUUGGAAUGGCCAAAGGAGAAGAGCAAACGUGGACUUUUUUGGGCUAACAUUAGAGCUGCUUUUAACAUGAAGUUAAUACUAAACACUGAAAACAAUGAUGUGGGCAUGUAAAAAAGAAAAAGCCAGGAAAUCCAACUUAAGAAACUCCCAUAUACAUGGAUUCCAAUGAACAUCAUGGUGUUAAGCUAUUGCCUAAACGGUGCCCACAUUCUCUGUACGUGCUCAAGAAAGACAGAGCGAAAGCCAUGCUUCAUUGAGCCCAGAAGCAGACUGGGGCCGAGGUGCUGCCCAAACUUGCCUGUUCCAGAUAGCUCAGUUUGUUCUGGUUGAACCAUUCUGUUUCAGAUUGAAACAGUCUUGUGUGGGUUAAAGACUCAGUCAUUCAAAGAUCCAUCCUGUCCUCCCCUUCCCCAAAUGGGUCUGUGUGAGCAGGAGUUGAUGGGGCUUCGUGGUGGCAAGGAAAGAGUCAACCUCACACCUGUACGCAGUGCUCCUUCGAGAGCCCUGUGCAUCCUUGCUGGCCUCUGGGUGCCUGUGAAAGAGCCAACAUUUGGACUCCGUCAUCAUAAGAGGCAGAGGCCCGGGGCCUGGCUGCCCUGUCCAGCAGUUAGCUUCAGAGAGAUUUGCUCCUCUCUGUCCACUGCACGCUUCCCUUGCGGCAGCCUGGGGACAUCCAGAACGUAGAGAAGACCGAGGAGAUGGAGGAAGGGUAAAGACGCUGACCACAUUCCUCCCCCACUUCCCAGCAAGGAAGGCCUGAGCCAGGGCCAGGCAGACUUUUGAACUGGGUGUGAGAUGGGUGUUAAAUUGGACUGGCUUGGACAUUUUAAUGCAUGAAGUACAGGUGCAUUUGCUAAAAUGAGACUUGUCACUAAAAUCAGUGGAGUCUGCCCCAAAUUCAGAAUAGAUUCUGAAAGAGAGUCCACAAAACUUGGUUGUAAGGCAGCAAUUAAAAGGAAAAGGGAAGCCCUUUCCUUAUGGACUUACUCAAUAGACCAGUUUCACAAUUAAUCAUUGUCAAGUAAUGAACCUUGGUGAAAUUUUAUCCAAGCGGUCUUCAUCCUUGCCCUCCAGGAGAGCACUGAGUUUCCCCGCACAGACCCUCUCCCAAACAGGGAACUUUCCUCAGCCUCUAGCAGACUGUUUCAUAAACUAAAAAAAAAAACACCAAAAACAAAAACACUAAAAAACACCCCAAACAACAGCGAAGUAUGUUACACAUUCUAAAUGAUCAAAUAUUUUAUUUAUUUUUAAAACACAUUUAUUUAUCAGUACCCUGUAACCUUGCAACUCGGGGAUUAGUUAACCAUACCCAGUGUGGCCCAGCCUCUCGGGGGGAGUCCUUGCAGAGAUGUUCUUUUUGAUGGACCAUAAAUCCAGCUGUAGGCCAUAAUGGCUGCUGUCUUUGUCGCCCAGGAGCACUCUGUAGAAAGACUGCUCUCCAAGCUUGCAUUGCUUUCAAGAGCCUCUGUAAAUUCUUUGCAAUAAGUUAGAAGGCCUUCUUAAUAACAAAGGUUCCACAGUCCCUGAUCUAGCUUCAUAGGAUAGGUCUCCCAGUAUCAAUUUGAGAAGAGAACAUAUUUAGCAAAAGGAAUACAUCUUAAGUUAAGUAAUGCCAAGUGAAGAGCUUUAGGCCAAGGCAGAUUAAAAGAUUUAACAAGUUUUACCAAUUGAAUUUUCCCUAUGUUGUCGGUUUGUUCUAUAAAACCAGAGGACUGGGGAUGAUAAGCACAAUGACGAUACUACGGUAUCAGCCAAGUGUUGCAUGGCUGGUGUAGAAUUUGUCUAGUGAAAUGGGUUCCCCUUUCCUCAAGGGACUCUGGGGGUUUUCUGAGCAGCGAAACUCCUUUCUAGAAGUAAUUUAGUAACUCCUGUAGCUGUUACCCUUGGACAUGGAAAUCCUUCUCCCCUAUAUGAAUAUACAUGGAUCAUCAUUAUACACUUUUAUCCUUGAAGGAGGGCAACUGAAUUGAAAUGCACUUUCCGAACAUCAGGUAGGCCUCAUUUGUCUUAUUUCCCCCUUUUGUAAAGAGACAUUCCCUUUGUAAUUUCCUACUAAAGCAUACCAACACUAUAGAAAAGAAGAAACUUUUGUCCCUUUAGCAGUGACAGAAAACUCAAUUUCCAAAUCUGUAUCAGCAUACUUGAAGUUAAAUGAAUCCAUUCCAGUCUUCCUUUGACCAUGCAUGAGACUUCUUUUCAAAAUUCCAUUUCUGCAAAACUUCUACAACAUACACAAAGUUUCUGCCACUUUGAUAAACCAUCCAUCUUUUGUCCUCUUUCCUUGUUGCAUUUACUUUAGAACAAAAUUACUUUCUUUUCUUUCAAUAAAAAUACAUUUCCAUUCCUCAUACCUUCUUUUACCAAACACACACCUUACUCUACACGUGCAGUCAUUUCCGAUCACCAUAAAAUCCUAAUCAGGCAUUGUCGCAGGUGUCUGGAUCUUUAACCGAGGCAUCUUGCCUGCCUCUGUUAUAAAAUGACGCAUUAAGGUUUCUGCCUUGUUACCCUGGUUUCCCACCUGCUCUGAAAGCUCCAAAGCUAGAGAGCAGCAGACAACUGCAUUUCUUUAAUUAAACCAACACCCUUAAGGUGGUUUUUCUUUGCAAAAGGCUAAUCCUACAUCAUGUGCGCUUGAAAAGUAAUUGCAUUAGUUUUUUUCCUCCAAUUUGUAUGAGUGCUCCUUUGCUUUAAGCCAAUUAAACAGGGCCCUUUUACAGUCCCCAUUAGACUUCACAAAUCAAAGUUUUUCUCAGGACCAUCUAACAGUAUCAUAUCUAUAACAGACAUACGUAGACAUGCAUAGACACACAGCACAAUAACACAAAACCCAAAAGAAAAACUAUGGAUCCCAAAGCAAAAUGAUGGGCCCCAAAGAUCUUAAAAGGGGAAAAUUUUCCUGGGGGGAAGACUGAAAAAUGCCUGCAG